CUUUCGACGAAAUCAAGUUUCUCUGGAAUUUGGUGGAGUUUAAGAUUUGAUAUCGGUGUCGUAGGAGUUAUGUGACACUUUAAGGUGGAAUAAAUCUAGCGAGGAGUUUAAGGUGCGGCAAAGGAGCGUGGAAUGUUGCAAUAGAAAUUUAUUGCAGUGUUAGUGCAUUGGUAGAUUGAUCAAAUUUACGUGUAGCGUGGGUAACCAAUGCUAAACCUUACGACGAAAAAUUAACGAAGUGGAAUAAAAAUGGCAUUGUGAUUCUUCUCGUCGUGUAUCGGUGUCACAUCAAAUUUAAGAGACAGUUUUACUUGCGGAUGCUGCGUGUUACGUUGGUGAAGUCGACGAAAGCGUAAAAUAGGAGCUCGUCCGAAAUACACUAACGCGGAAGGUUAAAUUUAACGCAAAAGGCUGAGAAAUUAGUUUAGAACUCGAAGUUUCAUUGGUACGACGCUCUUGAAACGCAUUCAAAGAGGUCGGCGACCUCGAAAGGGGAUGAACGCAACUGUUUCGUGGGAAUUUCUUAUUGUGGCUUAUUUGGAUGAAGCUGCUUUAAAAUCAGCGCUGGAUUCGUCUGUUUUUUGCCCGGAAAUCAUAAAAUGUUUAGGCCAGGCGACUCCAUGUACAGAAAAUGUUAUGUCCACUUUUUACGUCCGUAGAAUUCAACUCUUUACUACUAUGCACUUCUUCUCCAAAAAAAUAUCGCGUUUCAAUAUUAAAAAAAGUUUCAAUAAUAUACUAUCCAUUAGAAGAAUGAUAACAUGAUAACCUUACAAAUUAUUAGUAUUAACAAAUUCUUAUUGUCGUAUAGAAAUGCCAACUAUUGCUUCGGUAAAACAAACAAAGGAAUUUUACAGAUGCAGGAAUCUUAGCCUCAUGAGAAAUUGGAGAUGAAAAUGAGUGGGAAAAGAUUAAUCACUGGUCCUCCUAAAAAGAUGCAGUCCCAUGGAUGGAUGGUUG
Molecule: long non-coding RNA, 960 nt
Organism: Bombus huntii
Lineage: Eukaryota; Metazoa; Arthropoda; Insecta; Hymenoptera; Apidae
Exons: 3
Source: RefSeq, a predicted model, not a curated record